Aphis gossypii (cotton aphid) is the source of this 586-nucleotide long non-coding RNA. RefSeq lists it as uncharacterized. The record is from RefSeq and is a predicted model, not a curated record. Lineage: Eukaryota; Metazoa; Arthropoda; Insecta; Hemiptera; Aphididae. The transcript has 3 exons.
CUUCAAAAGUAAUAAAAUUACAAUUACUUAUUAGGUACUUUUCUGAAAUGUAAACUUAAACUUAAAUGUAGGUAGUUAAGUUACUUUAUAACUAAAAUAAGAAAUUAAUAAAUUACUUUUAAAGUUGCCCUAUACCAUCUAUAAUACCUACCUAGUUUAUCUAAUUGUGUUAAAAAUUUUUUGAAAUGUACCAUACAUUGAUUGAUUUUUUUCAUUUUAGUUUAUAUAAAUAUGAUUCAUUAUUCUAAAAAUAAUGUUUUUAUUACUAUUUACAUCAUAUAUUAUACAUGAAAUGUGUAACCACAACUUCAUAAUGAUGUCAGUUCUACAUAGCGGACAACAUCUUCUACCUUCUCGCAUCCACCUUUCAAUGCAUACCCUACAGAAAUGGUGUUGGCAGGGCACUAUUGUAGUAGUGGAAAUGCCAUUAUAGCAAAUUAUGCAUAUUUCAAGAACUGAAAAAGAAUGUUUUAACUCUACAUCAUUUUCGAGUUCUGCAUAAAAAGCUUGGAUUAUAUCAUUUUGUCUUCUACCACGUCUUUCUACUCUUGGACUCCGGUGUCUAUGCCUCCCAUUCUCUACACAU